Molecule: ribosomal RNA, 274 nt
Filed under: uncultured bacterium
Lineage: Bacteria
Description: partial 16S ribosomal RNA
Rfam family: Bacterial small subunit ribosomal RNA
Source: RNAcentral
AUACGGAGGGUGCAAGCGUUAUUCGGAAUUACUGGGCGUAAAGCGCGCGUAGGCGGAUUGAUCAGUCAGGGGUGAAAUCCCGGAGCUUAACUCCGGAACUGCCUUUGAUACUGUCAAUCUUGAGUUCGAGAGAGGUGAGUGGAAUUCCUAGUGUAGAGGUGAAAUUCGUAGAUAUUAGGAAGAACACCAGUGGCGAAGGCGGCUCACUGGCCCGAUACUGACGCUGAGGCGCGAAAGCGUGGGGAGCAAACAGGAUUAGAAACCCUAGUAGUCC